UCUAGCUACAGGCUUAACACAUGCAAGUCGAGGGGCAGCAUGGUCUUAGCUUGCUAAGGCCGAUGGCGACCGGCGCACGGGUGAGUAACACGUAUCCAACCUGCCGUCUACUCUUGGACAGCCUUCUGAAAGGAAGAUUAAUACAAGAUGGCAUCAUGAGUCCGCAUGUUCACAUGAUUAAAGGUAUUCCGGUAGACGAUGGGGAUGCGUUCCAUUAGAUAGUAGGCGGGGUAACGGCCCACCUAGUCUUCGAUGGAUAGGGGUUCUGAGAGGAAGGUCCCCCACAUUGGAACUGAGACACGGUCCAAACUCCUACGGGAGGCAGCAGUGAGGAAUAUUGGUCAAUGGGCGAGAGCCUGAACCAGCCAAGUAGCGUGAAGGAUGACUGCCCUAUGGGUUGUAAACUUCUUUUAUAAAGGAAUAAAGUCGGGUAUGGAUACCCGUUUGCGUGUACUUUAUGAAUAAGGAUCGGCUAACUCCGUGCCAGCAGCCGCGGUAAUACGGAGGAUCCGAGCGUUAUCCGGAUUUAUUGGGUUUAAAGGGAGCGUAGAUGGAUGUUUAAGUCAGUUGUGAAAGUUUGCGGCUCAACCGUAAAAUUGCAGGUGAUACUGGAUAUCUUGAGUGCAGUUGAGGCAGGCGGAAUUCGUGGUGUAGCGGUGAAAUGCUUAGAUAUCACGAAGAACUCCGAUUGCGAAGGCAGCCUGCUAAGCUGCAACUGACAUUGAGGCUCGAAAGUGUGGGUAUCAAACAGGAUUAGAUACCCUGGUAGUCCACACGGUAAACGAUGAAUACUCGCUGUUUGCGAUAUACUGCAAGCGGCCAAGCGAAAGCGUUAAGUAUUCCACCUGGGGAGUACGCCGGCAACGGUGAAACUCAAAGGAAUUGACGGGGGCCCGCACAAGCGGAGGAACAUGUGGUUUAAUUCGAUGAUACGCGAGGAACCUUACCCGGGCUUAAAUUGCAGAUGAAUUACGGUGAAAGCCGUAAGCCGCAAGGCAUCUGUGAAGGUGCUGCAUGGUUGUCGUCAGCUCGUGCCGUGAGGUGUCGGCUUAAGUGCCAUAACGAGCGCAACCCUUGUUGUCAGUUACUAACAGGUUCCGCUGAGGACUCUGACAAGACUGCCAUCGUAAGAUGUGAGGAAGGUGGGGAUGACGUCAAAUCAGCACGGCCCUUACGUCCGGGGCUACACACGUGUUACAAUGGGGGGUACAGAGGGCCGCUACCACGCGAGUGGAUGCCAAUCCCCAAAACCUCUCUCAGUUCGGACUGGAGUCUGCAACCCGACUCCACGAAGCUGGAUUCGCUAGUAAUCGCGCAUCAGCCACGGCGCGGUGAAUACGUUCCCGGGCCUUGUACACACCGCCCGUCAAGCCAUGGGAGCCGGGGGUACCUGAAGUGCGUAACCGCGAGGAGCGCCCUAGGGUAAAACUGGUGACUGGG
Molecule: ribosomal RNA, 1440 nt
Filed under: uncultured organism
Description: SSU rRNA
Rfam family: Bacterial small subunit ribosomal RNA
Source: RNAcentral